This 120-nucleotide non-coding RNA is filed under the name Paramaledivibacter caminithermalis. RNAcentral's name for it is "Clostridium caminithermale FMN sequence". It matches the Rfam family "FMN riboswitch aptamer (RFN element)". Rfam says of the family: The RFN element is a highly conserved domain that is found frequently in the 5'-untranslated regions of prokaryotic mRNAs that encode for flavin mononucleotide (FMN) biosynthesis and transport proteins. This element is a metabolite-dependent riboswitch that directly binds FMN in the absence of proteins. The record is from RNAcentral. Lineage: Bacteria; Bacillati; Bacillota; Clostridia; Peptostreptococcales; Caminicellaceae. RNAcentral also lists the same sequence under 1 other name.
UCUCUCCUUCGGGGCAGGGUGUAAUUCCCGACCGGCGGUAUAGCCCGCGAGCCGCAUAUAAGCGGUUGAUCUGGUGAAAUUCCAGGGCCGACAGUAUAGUCUGGAUGGUAGAAGGAUAGC